GCGUGCGAUGNUGAGUAAGGGCGCAACCAACCNCGUGAUCGGGCAUAGCCGCGGGAAACCGCGGGUAAUUCCCGGCGACGUCCGGAGGGGGCAUCCCUUCCGGACCAAAGCUCCGGCGUCGUGGGACGGACCGUCGUGGUAUUAGGUGGUUGGCGGGGUAACGGCCCACCAAGCCGAUGAUGCCUACCGGGCGUGAGAGCGUGGCCCGGCACACUGGGACUGAGACACUGCCCAGACUCCUACGGGAGGCUGCAGUCGAGAAUCUUCGGCAAUGGGCGCAAGCCUGACCGAGCGACGCCGCGUGGAGGACGAAGGCCUUCGGGUUGUAAACUCCCGUCGAGGGGGAGGAAGCCGCAAGGUUGACCGAUCCCUGGAGGAAGCACGGGCUAAGUUCGUGCC
Molecule: ribosomal RNA, 399 nt
Filed under: uncultured Planctomycetales bacterium
Lineage: Bacteria; Pseudomonadati; Planctomycetota; Planctomycetia; Planctomycetales
Description: bacterial SSU rRNA
Rfam family: Bacterial small subunit ribosomal RNA
Source: RNAcentral